UAGGGAAUCUUCCACAAUGGGCGAAAGCCUAAUGGAGCAACGCCGCGUGUGUGAUGAAGGGUUUCGGCUCGUAAAACACUGUUGUAAGAGAAGAAUGACAUUGAGAGUAACUGUUCAAUGUGUGACGGUAUCUUACCAGAAAGGAACGGCUAAAUACGUGCCAG
Molecule: ribosomal RNA, 164 nt
Filed under: uncultured bacterium
Lineage: Bacteria
Description: partial 16S rRNA
Rfam family: Bacterial small subunit ribosomal RNA
Source: RNAcentral